CAGCAGCCGCGGUAAUACGUACUGUGCGAACGUUAUUCGGAAUCACUGGGCUUAAAGGGUGCGUAGGCGGUUUAGUAAGUAGGGUGUGAAAUGCCAGGGCUCAACCUGGGCACGGCGCUCUAAACUGCUAAACUUGAGUGAGAUAGGGGUGUACGGAACUUCCGGUGGAGCGGUGAAAUGCGUUGAUAUCGGAAGGAACACCGGUGGCGAAAGCGGUACACUGGGCUCUUACUGACGCUGAGGCACGAAAGCUAGGGUAGCGAACGGGAUUAGAUACCCCGGUAGUCCUAGCCGUAAACGAUGAGUACUAGUUGGGAGGAGCUUCGGCUCUCCGGACGUAGCCGAAAGCAUUAGUUCUCCGCCUGGGGGAGUAUGUCGCCAGGCUUGAAACUCAAAAGAAUUGACGGGGGCUCACACAAGC
Molecule: ribosomal RNA, 421 nt
Filed under: uncultured bacterium SCALE-6
Lineage: Bacteria; Pseudomonadati; Planctomycetota; Planctomycetia; Planctomycetales
Description: bacterial SSU rRNA
Rfam family: Bacterial small subunit ribosomal RNA
Source: RNAcentral